RNAcentral lists this ribosomal RNA (648 nucleotides) under Agaricus macrocarpus. RNAcentral's name for it is "partial large subunit ribosomal RNA". It matches the Rfam family "Eukaryotic large subunit ribosomal RNA", at positions 36 to 668 of the family's 3401-position model. Lineage: Eukaryota; Fungi; Basidiomycota; Agaricomycetes; Agaricales; Agaricaceae. The record is from RNAcentral.
UUGCAUAUCAAAAAGCGGAGGAAAAGAAACUAACAAGGAUUCCCCUAGUAACUGCGAGUGAAGCGGGAAAAGCUCAAAUUUAAAAUCUGGCGGUCUCUGGCCGUCCGAGUUGUAAUCUAGAGAAGUAAUGCCCGUGCUGGACCGUGUAUAAGUCUCCUGGGAUGGGGCGUCAUAGAGGGUGAGAAUCCCGUCUUUGACACGGACUACCAGUGCAUUGUGGUAUGCUCUCAAAGAGUCGAGUUGUUUGGGAAUGCAGCUCAAAAUGGGUGGUAAAUUCCAUCUAAAGCUAAAUAUUGGCGAGAGACCGAUAGCGAACAAGUACCGUGAGGGAAAGAUGAAAAGAACUUUGGAAAGAGAGUUAAACAGUACGUGAAAUUGCUGAAAGGGAAACGCUUGAAGUCAGUCGCGUUGGCCGGGGAUCAGCCUUGCUUUUGCAUGGUGUACUUUCUGGUUGACGGGUCAGCAUCAAUUUUGACCGCUGGAAAAAGACCUGGGGAAUGUGGCAGCUUCGGCUGUGUUAUAGCCCCUAGUCGCAUACAGUGGUUGGGAUUGAGGAACUCAGCACGCCGCAAGGCCGGGUUUCGACCACGUUCGUGCUUAGGAUGCUGGCAUAAUGGCUUUAAGCGACCCGUCUUGAAACACGGACCA